Long non-coding RNA from Zingiber officinale, 1258 nucleotides. RefSeq lists it as uncharacterized. The transcript is spliced from 3 exons. NCBI's taxonomy places the organism in Eukaryota, Viridiplantae, Streptophyta, Magnoliopsida, Zingiberales, Zingiberaceae. The record is from RefSeq and is a predicted model, not a curated record.
UCUUCUCUUACCGUACAAGGUCCGAUCCGUGGACUUCCGCCUCGCCUCAUUGAGAUCCGGCUUUGGUGCUCCUCGGCCUCGUCGUCAGGGCGGGGGGAGCAUGGGAUCCCGCAACCGUCUCCUCUUGAAUCUGCUGAGAGAGACUUUGUGGAUUAGUUGAUGGUGCUUGUUCUGCUACCUGUCUUCCAUCGACAACUUCAGAGCUGUAGCUGCAGGUCUUGUUCACAUUGUUGUCUUCUUUGUCACAAGUCCAAGUCCUCUUCUGGCCUUUCUUCAAAGAAUUGGAUCCUGAGGAGGAACAGGCUGUCCAAUGUCGUCGCUGCUUGCAUCCUCACUGAAAUGAGCCAAAUCUCCAAUUGCAGUGACACAAACUGCUGGAUCCUGAGGAGGAGGAACAGGCUGUCCAAUGUCGUCUCUGCUUGCAUCCUCACUGAAACGAGCCAAAUCUCCAAUUGCAGUGACACAAAUUGCUGGCUCUGAAUUUUGUGGAAUUACAUCUGAUUCAUUCAGAUAAAAACCAUCACCAUGCCCAAAAUGUGGAGUACAGAAUCCUCCAUAAGAAUCAAAGUUUUCGACUUCUGAUGGGUAAUAAUAGCAAUAAGAAGAAGAUGAAUCAGCAGUAGCAGAAGACCAAACUGGGACCUUAAAGCUUGGAUCAUCGAAACCUUGCUCCAUGAAGUGUGCCAUUAUUUCAUAGCCCUCUUCCAAUGAGCCUUCCAUUUCUUCGACUCACUCAAAUGGAGAGAUGGAGUGUGUUGCAAUGUGUUGCGGGGAUGGGGGUUCUUAUACAAAGCAGGAGGAGAGCAUGUGCAAGUGAGAUGGAGUUGACCAUAUUAAGCACUCUUAAUUAUUUGCGGUUUGACAAACGCAUCCAUUGACUUUGUUGAUAAUUUGGGUACAAAAAUUUGAUUAUGUAAACAUGUGGGAGGUGCUGACAAUGACUGAGGAUGCAAAUGAUUGGUGUGGAAGUUUAUCAUGAGUUUUGCAUGGAAAUGGAAGAAUGAAGUAGGUGUAUAAUUUGAUUAAAAUAAAGGCAGUAAAGGAGAAAGAGGGAAGCAUGAUCUUAGAGAUUUUCCAAGAAGCGUGUGAAGUCUUUGUCAAGAGAAUGAGUUCUUUCUGAUUCUUCAGUAUAUUGUUCUAUGGAAAAAAGAAAUCAACUAUGAACUCCUUUGUAUGCUUUUUUGUUGGAGUGUGGAACAUAGUAUUAAACUUUCUUUUAUUAUUCUUUUUUAAAAAAAUAAGAGGAUAUUGUAUUUUA